AGAAGUGCAUUCAUGUUUCGCUAGUCCUGCCUGCUUCCGGGUAGGGGAAGGGCGGGCGUGUUUCUCGUGGAUCCCGUGUCCCUGUGUGGCUGAGCAGCUCACAACAGGGUUGUGGCUAGUUUAAGGUUAUUUAUCCAGGAAGGGAAAAGGCUUUCUGACGUUCUCCAAAGGCGCAGCCUAAUCUCUAGUGUGCACCCCCUCCCCCAGGUGCUUUUGUUUUGUUUGCCUUUUUCAUUUCCCCCGGAUUACAUUAAAAACCAGCUUUAAUAGUCACUUUCUGAGAAUUUUGAGUUCCAGAUGAAUCCCUUCUUCUGACUGACCCCCCAACCUCAGUCCUACCCCCCCCCCCCAAAGGAUCCCAUGUAGAUGUUACCAUGUAAACCAUUUUCCGUAUUAGUCAUUAGUGGAAGAGAGGAGGAGGAAGAUGCAGAGGUGGAGAAGAACAAGAACAACAGGAAGAGCAAGUUGAAGAACAAAAUAACAAGCCUCAACACAAUGAAAUGGAAACACUGGUGGAAGAAAUUGGAGAAAAAUUACCUGAAGAUAAAAUGACUGAAAAAGUUAAUAAGUGGGCAUUUAAUGUAAAGAAUCUUCAGUGCAAUAACAGUGAAGAGAAUAAAAUCCCUGGGGAAGAAAUUCCCAAAAUGACCAUAGUACCUGUGCACCAUUGUUCAAAGUGGUUUCCACUGAAAAAAAGGGAAGAAAAGCAACUGAAGGCAAACAUGCUACUUAAAAAUGAUCAAAGAACAAUUAAGAAGAAAAGAAAAAUUAUCUAGUAAAGAUGCGGAGAUGAAACAGUCAUUUGAACUGGUUGAGAGUGACAAGGCUGAAGAGCAAAAGAACAAGCCUCAACACAAUGAAGUGGAAACACUGGUGGAAGAUAUUGGAGAAAAAUUACCUGAAGUAAAAUGACUGUCAAAGUUAAUAAGCUGCCAUUUCAUGUAAAGAAUGAUCCUGGCAAUGAAAGCGAGGAGGACAAAAUCCCUGCGGAAGAAUCUCCACAAAUGACCGUUUCUUCUUCCAAGGAAUCUUCAGCACUCGGGCACCAUCGAUCAGUGGGGUCAGUUUCUGAAAAUCACUCAGUGGAGUAUUUCACUAUCACGGUCUCUUUGCCCUGAAAAUCUGGGUUCCGAUUCGUUGUACAUGAACUGCAGUCUUGGCUGGUAUUUGUUUGGUUUUUGCCAAGAAAGAAACCAAAACCCAUGUAUGCAGCUUCUGUAGACACAGACACAAACACACACAUAUGAACGGAUAAAUGACUUUCAGGUUCUUUUAUUCUGGAAAUUGUAGAGCAGCAGCUACCAAUCACUCACUGGAAAGAGUUUCUUGACAGUGAAAGUCGACAUGAAUCUGUUUCCCCUCAUAAAAGUCAACUUUGUUUCUUCAGAAGUCCAGACACAUUUAGCUACAUAGGAUGACAAUCUUGAUUUCUACCCAAUUGUUUUUCCUAAAACAAGCAGUUUUCCUCUAGGUUUCCACUGAAAAAAGAGGAAUAAAGGCAAUUGAAGGGAAACAAUCAGAGAACAAAUAAGGAGAAGAGAAAAAUCAUAUAAUAAAGCUGUGGAGAUAAAACAGCCUUUGGAACCUGCUGUACAAGCUUGGGCCAUGGAACCAAGACCAGGAGGAAACCAUUUGACGCAGGUAAAGUGGAAAUUUAGAGUCAGUAUUUCCAUCUUUGCUCGAUAUGGACUAUGAAUCGGUGUCCUGGGCGAGAGCAGGUCAGUGGCUGGAAAGUUGUAUUCGUGCUGCGAAAGGUCAGUGGCUGUCAGGUGGAGUAUCAUUCGGUUGGGUUCGAUGCUACACGAAUGUAGGUUCAUGUGUAGAUCUAGAAAAAUAAAGGCGUCUCUAUUUUUAACAUUCGAGUGCGCUGUUGCAAGGGCUAUAACCAUGGAGAAGAUAAGGUGACACACACUUGCAGUCACAAUUAGAGAAGAAAAAGAAUUGGAAGGUAUUAAAAUAGAGACCAAGUUAUCCCUCCUUGCAGAUGAUCUGAUGGUCCACUUAAGGAAUCCUAGAGAAUCAACUAAGAAACUAGUGGGAAAAAACCAGGGAUGUUAACAAAGUGGCAGGAGAGAAAAUAAACCCACAUUAAUCAUCAGCAUUCCUGUAUGUUCCCAACACAUGUCAGCAGCAACAGGUAGAAAGAGCAAUUUCCUUUAAAAUCGUCCUGGACAAUCCAAAAUAUUUAGAAAUGUAUCUGCCAAGACAAACAAGGGAAUUAUAUGAACACAACUCCGAAACACUUUCCACAUAUAGAUAUAAACGAUUGAGAAAACAUUAAUUGUUCAUCGAUGGGAUGAGUUAAAAUAAUAAAAAUGACAAUCCUACACAAAUUAACUUCCUUAGUCAGUGCCAUACUUAUCACACUACCAAGAAACUUUUUUACUGCAUUAGAAAAAAACUAUAACAAAGUUCACGUGGAUGAACAGAAGAUCAAGAAUACCAAGAGAAAUGAUGAAAAAAUGUGAAGGAUGAGUGGCUAGAAUUACCAGAUCUUAAACUGUACCAUAAAGCAGUGGUCUUCAAAACAAUUUGGUACCAAGGGACAGAGGAGAAGAUCAGUGGAAUAGACUUAGAAAAACUUACCUCAGCAAACCAGUGAAUGAGGACCCCCUAAAACCCAGGUUUCAGGAUAAUUUCUGAAUAAAAAUAGACUCUUUGACAAAAAAACUACCAGGAAAAUUGGAAAACAGUAUCAGAGAGAUGAGCAUUUCACACUACACCAAGAUAAACUCAAAAUGAGUGAAUAAUUGAAUGUAAAAAGGAAACUAUAAGUAAAUUAGGUGAACACACAAUAGUAUACCUGUCAGAUCUUCAGGAAAGGUAAAAUUUCAAGACCAAGCAAGAGUUAGACAAAAUUGCAAAAUGUAAGAUAAAUCAAUUUGAUUACAUUAAAUUUAAAAGGGUGUUUUUUGUACAAUCGGAACCAAAGCAACCAAAAUUAGAAGGGAAGCAAAAAUUGGGAAAAAACCUUUAAAACAAAAUCCUUUAACAAGGGUCUAAUUACUCAAAUAUCUAAGGAGUUAAGUCAGUUGUACAAAAAAUCAAACCAUUUUCUAAUUGAAAAAUGAGCAAGUGACAUGAAUGGCAAUUUUCAGAUGAAGAAAUCAGAACUAUCUAUAGGCACAUGACAAAGUGUUCUAAAUCAUUUGUAAUUGGAGAAAUGAAGUGCAAAUCAACCCCCCCCCCCCGAGGUAUCAGCUCUCCUAGCAUAUUGGCUAACAUGAGAGCAAAGGAAAGUCAUAAAUGUUGCAGGGGAUGUGUAAAAUGGGGACAUGAAUGUACUGCUGGCGGAGUUGGGAAUGGAUCCAACCAUUCUGGAGGGCAGUUUGGAACUAUGCCCAAAGGGUGCUAAAAGCCUGCUGGCCCUUUGAUCCAGCCAUAGCCCUGCUGGGCUCGUACCCCAGAGAUUAUUAUUAUUAAUAAUAUGAAUGUGUCUUGGUCCACCCAGGAGCAUGUGAUGUUCUUUCCACUUGUGAGGCUUUAGUUAUACUUGUGUGAAAAGGGCUUUGUAGAUGAGUUCAUAUGAUUCCUGUGUUCAUCCUGAAGAUAUUCCCAAUUGCCUCGAGUGAUUUGAAAUGAAGCUUCUCCUGCUGCUGAGCUGUGUCGACAAGACGUGGAAAUGCUGACGAUUUACGUGCCUUUACUUUUCAUCCUGCAGCUUUGCUAAAGCUGUUGGUUAUUUCCAGGAGCUUUUGAGAUCUUUCUUUGAUUCUUCAGGUAGAGCAUCUCACCGACUGCAGAGAGGGAGACUUUGGUCUCCUCGGUGCCUCCUUGAAUCCCUUCCAUUUCUUGGUCUCUAAAUUGCUGCUGUGCGUGUUUCUAGUACGAUGUUAGUGAAUAGAGGGGAGAGCGGGCAUCCUCGCUUCACUGCCGAUCUCAGUGGGAAGGUCUCUCACUUCUCCCCACUGCAGACGAUCAUCACGGAUGGUUUUAGGUAUAUAUUCUCUAUGGUUGUUAGGAAGGGCUCCCAUAUUCCUACCCUUCCUAGGGCUGUCAGGAGGAUUCUAAGGGGAAAAGUGACGAUAUGAAAAAAGGACGAGAAAACACAAUGAGGAAGAAGCCGAGCCACUGUUUCAAAUGUUGAAGCAAGUUGUUCUCCUUUCAAACAAAACUUCUAAAAAUUCGUUGUUAUUCUUUCCAGAGCUGAAAAAAUUAGAAUAAAGAAUACUAUAGAUACGUGUGUACAUUCCAGAAGCUAAGAGCUCUCCAGGCAUUAUUGAUAGUGAGCAGGGAACACCUGUUUUCAGGUCCUGCUUCUGGUAUAAUUGACAAACCAUUUAGCCUUUCAGGGUUCUAGGCAACUCUACAACCAGAAGUAGCUAGAAAGAUGCUGACCAGCGGGUAAAUCCAAAUGAUUCAGGGAGAUUUCCUUGGGAAACAAUAAGGUUCAGCUGCCAAAGAUGAUCAUCUUGAAUGCUUCUAACCAUGCAGGGGUAUUUCUUUUGCUUUGUUUCACCACUGUAGUUGUGAAAGGUUUCCUGUAGAUACAGGCAGGUCACUUGUUAAUCACGUAACUCCAAUUAAUUCAGGGAACAUUCCUUGGAUACAGUCAGAUCCGCCGUGGACAGCCAAUGAUAUUCAACACUUUCACCAUGCAGGAAUGUUCCUGUUGCUUUGUUUCAGCAAUAUUGUUGUGAAAUUUUUUUCCUUUGUUUCAACA
Molecule: long non-coding RNA, 4663 nt
Organism: Monodelphis domestica (gray short-tailed opossum)
Lineage: Eukaryota; Metazoa; Chordata; Mammalia; Didelphimorphia; Didelphidae
Source: RefSeq, a predicted model, not a curated record